UGAUGAGAUCCAGAGUCCUAUAUUAAACAGCUGUCGUGGUUAUCGGUAAAUCUUUUGAUUUUACAAGGUUAUACAAGAACAAUGAGUGCAUCCAAACUGCAGCAAAGUGGUGAGGUGAGAAUCUCACACUUGCUAAAUAUGAAAGAGAAGGAGUUUUUAGUCAAAAGAAGAGAAACCGUUUUUCAAAGCCUGAAUAAACUCAAUAUACACUGCAGUAAGGUAAAACAUCUCAUCCCUAAUAUAUUACUAUUAGCAGUGUAGCAUGCUGGAAAUUUUCUUUUGGCUCUGUAUGCAUGCAUGUGUACUAAACAAAUAUAGCUGCAUAAUAGCACUUCUAUUUUUAUGUAUGUUUUCAUUUUCUUCAAAAUCAAUAUUUUAUCCUGUGCUGUUUCUUUGCAGUCUGUUUG
This is a long non-coding RNA of Labeo rohita (rohu), 407 nucleotides long. RefSeq lists it as uncharacterized. The record is from RefSeq and is a predicted model, not a curated record. NCBI's taxonomy places the organism in Eukaryota, Metazoa, Chordata, Actinopteri, Cypriniformes, Cyprinidae. The transcript is spliced from 3 exons.